RNAcentral lists this transfer RNA (76 nucleotides) under Burkholderiaceae bacterium. RNAcentral describes it as "tRNA-Lys". It matches the Rfam family "tRNA". From Rfam's summary of the family: Transfer RNA (tRNA) molecules are approximately 80 nucleotides in length. Their secondary structure includes four short double-helical elements and three loops (D, anti-codon, and T loops). Lineage: Bacteria; Pseudomonadati; Pseudomonadota; Betaproteobacteria; Burkholderiales; Burkholderiaceae. The record is from RNAcentral.
GGGUCGUUAGCUCAGCUGGUAGAGCACCGGACUUUUAAUCCGAUGGUCGGCGGUUCGAGCCCGCCACGGCCUACCA